AAAAUCUCCGUCUCGUUAGCACAUGAUGUAAGCCAGCCGGACUUCUCGUCAUGAACGAGGGGAAAAAAUAUAUUUCCGUUCGUUCAAACAUGUCAAACGUUGUAUAGCAUAAAUCAUUAGGGCCUUUUUUAACCAGAACAUGAAUAGUAUUCAAGGUGGACGAAUGCAUACUCUUUUAUAACGUAUUGGAACGAGGGUACCCAACAUGAACUCGCGCGCCAGGUGUCUAAUGGGACAUCAUCGUUCCAUGGCUCUUGUUCGGUCAGAUCUCCCUCCAGAAGACUCAAAACACUUUGUAAAGGCUGGUGACAUCUAGU
Molecule: long non-coding RNA, 317 nt
Filed under: Salmo salar (Atlantic salmon)
Lineage: Eukaryota; Metazoa; Chordata; Actinopteri; Salmoniformes; Salmonidae
Description: lncRNA (ENSSSAG00000104515.1)
Source: RNAcentral